GACGAACGCUGGCGGCGUGCUUAACACAUGCAAGUCGAACGGAAAGGCCCUGCUUUUGUGGGGUGCUCGGGUGGCGAACGGGUGAGUAACACGUGAGUAACCUGCCCUUGACUUUGGGAUAACUUCAGGAAACUGGGGCUAAUACCGGAUAGGAGCUCCUGCUGCAUGGUGGGGGUUGGAAAGUUUCGGCGGUUGGGGAUGGACUCGCGGCUUAUCAGCUUGUUGGUGGGGUAGUGGCUUACCAAGGCUUUGACGGGUAGCCGGCCUGAGAGGGUGACCGGCCACAUUGGGACUGAGAUACGGCCCAGACUCCUACGGGAGGCAGCAGUGGGGAAUAUUGCACAAUGGGCGGAAGCCUGAUGCAGCAACGCCGCGUGCGGGAUGACGGCCUUCGGGUUGUAAACCGCUUUCGCCUGUGACGAAGCGUGAGUGACGGUAAUGGGUAAAGAGGCACCGGCUAACUACGUG
This 468-nucleotide ribosomal RNA is filed under the name uncultured bacterium. RNAcentral's name for it is "partial 16S ribosomal RNA". It matches the Rfam family "Bacterial small subunit ribosomal RNA", at positions 28 to 507 of the family's 1533-position model. The record is from RNAcentral.